GCGGGGGACCUGCAGGAGGAUGGUGUUCGGAUGAUGGGCCAGCUGGAGGAUAAUAUUCAGGUCGAAGACCUGCAGGAGGACGAUGUUCAGACAAUGGGCCAACUGGAGGAUAAUAUUCAGGUCGAAGACCUGCAGGAGGGCGGUGUUCAGAUGAUGGGCCAGCUGGAUAAUAUUCAGGUCGAAGACCUGCAGGAGGAUGGUGUUUAGAUGAUGGGACAGCUGGAGGAUAAUAUUCAGGUCGAAGACCUGCAGGAGGAUGGUAUCCAGAUGACCGGCCACCAGAAUAUAUCAGAUCAUGGGAAAAAGGAGGUUCUCUGUAUCGCACAUAGGGAUCACGGUAUUCAAUAUCAUCUUGACGCCUCAUUUCCAAGUCUAGAUGCUG
This 382-nucleotide long non-coding RNA is filed under the name Vitis vinifera (wine grape). RNAcentral describes it as "long non-coding RNA (VVIN_LNC001732)". The record is from RNAcentral. Lineage: Eukaryota; Viridiplantae; Streptophyta; Magnoliopsida; Vitales; Vitaceae.